GUACACACCGCCCGUCGCUCCUACCGAUUGAAUGGUCCGGUGAAAUCUUCGGAUUGCUGGAUAGGAGGGCAACCGCCUAUCUGCGAGAAGUUGCUUGAACCUUAUCAUUUAGAGGAAGGAGAAGUCGUAACAAGGUUUCCGUAGGUGAAC
Molecule: ribosomal RNA, 150 nt
Filed under: uncultured Cryptophyta
Lineage: Eukaryota; Cryptophyceae
Description: partial small subunit ribosomal RNA
Rfam family: Eukaryotic small subunit ribosomal RNA
Source: RNAcentral